Molecule: ribosomal RNA, 845 nt
Filed under: Canoparmelia cf. eruptens Kirika, 4483
Lineage: Eukaryota; Fungi; Ascomycota; Lecanoromycetes; Lecanorales; Parmeliaceae
Description: LSU rRNA
Rfam family: Eukaryotic large subunit ribosomal RNA
Source: RNAcentral
GGGAUUGCCUCAGUAACGGCGAGUGAAGCGGCAACAGCUCAAAUUUGAAAUCUGGCCCCGGGGUCCGAGUUGUAAUUUGUAGAGAGUGCUUCGGGGGAGACCACGGUCUAAGUCCAUUGGAACAUGGUGUCAUAGAGGGUGAGAAUCCCGUAUGCGACCGCGGCUCGAGCCCAUGUGAAGCCUCUUCGACGAGUCGAGUUGUUUGGGAAUGCAGCUCAAAAUGGGUGGUAAAUUUCAUCUAAAGCUAAAUACUGGCUGGAGACCGAUAGCGCACAAGUAGAGUGAUCGAAAGAUGAAAAGCACUUUGGAAAGAGAGUUAAAAAGUACGUGAAAUUGUUGAAAGGGAAGCGCUUGCAACCAGACCUGUCCGUAGGCGAUCAGCUGCUGUUCUCAGCGGUGCACUCGUUCUGCGAUCAGGCCAGCAUCGGUUCCGGCGGUCGGACAAAGGCCUUGGGAAUGUAGCUUCCUCCCGGGGAGUCUUAUAGCCCUCGGUGCAAUGCGGCCAGCCGGGACCGAGGACCGCGCUUCGGCUAGGAUGCUGGCGUAAUGGUUGUCAGCGACCCGUCUUGAAACACGGACCAAGGAGUCUAACAUCUAUGCGAGUGUUUGGGUGUCAAACCCAUACGCGGAAUGAAAGUGAACGGAGGUGAGAACCCCGGAGGGCGCAUCAUCGACCGAUCCAGAUGUCUUCGGAUGGAUUUGAGUAUGAGCAUAGCUGUUGGGACCCGAAAGAUGGUGAACUAUGCCUGAAUAGGGUGAAGCCAGAGGAAACUCUGGUGGAGGCUCGCAGCGGUUCUGACGUGCAAAUCGAUCGUCAAAUUUGGGUAUAGGGGCGAAAGACUAAU